GACGAACGCUGGCGGCGUGCUUAACACAUGCAAGUCGAACGGAAAGGCCCUGCUUGCAGGGUGCUCGAGUGGCGAACGGGUGAGUAACACGUGGGUGAUCCGCCCCUUACUUUGGGAUAAGCCUGGGAAACUGGGUCUAAUACUGGAUAGGACCAUGCUGUAGGUGGUGUGGUGGAAAGAUUAGUUUCGGUAAGGGAUGAGCUCGCGGCCUAUCAGCUUGUUGGUGGGGGAAUGGCCUACCAAGGCGUCGACGGGUAGCCGGCCUGAGAGGGUGGACGGCCACAUUGGGACUGAGAUACGGCCCAGACUCCUACGGGAGGCAGCAGUGGGGAAUAUUGCACAAUAGGCGCAAGCCUGAUGCAGCGACGCCGCGUGGGGGGUGACGGCCUUCGGGUUGUAAACACCUUUCAGCCAUGACGAAGCCCUUGUGGUGACGGUAGUGGUAGAAGAAGCACCGGCUAACUACGUG
This 469-nucleotide ribosomal RNA is filed under the name uncultured bacterium. RNAcentral's name for it is "partial 16S ribosomal RNA". It matches the Rfam family "Bacterial small subunit ribosomal RNA", at positions 28 to 507 of the family's 1533-position model. The record is from RNAcentral.